Molecule: ribosomal RNA, 750 nt
Filed under: Staphylococcus pasteuri
Lineage: Bacteria; Bacillati; Bacillota; Bacilli; Caryophanales; Staphylococcaceae
Description: bacterial SSU rRNA
Rfam family: Bacterial small subunit ribosomal RNA
Source: RNAcentral
CUAUACAUGCAAGUCGAGCGAACAGAUAAGGAGCUUGCUCCUUUGACGUUAGCGGCGGACGGGUGAGUAACACGUGGAUAACCUACCUAUAAGACUGGGAUAACUUCGGGAAACCGGAGCUAAUACCGGAUAACAUAUUGAACCGCAUGGUUCAAUAGUGAAAGGCGGCUUUGCUGUCACUUAUAGAUGGAUCCGCGCCGUAUUAGCUAGUUGGUAAGGUAACGGCUUACCAAGGCAACGAUACGUAGCCGACCUGAGAGGGUGAUCGGCCACACUGGAACUGAGACACGGUCCAGACUCCUACGGGAGGCAGCAGUAGGGAAUCUUCCGCAAUGGGCGAAAGCCUGACGGAGCAACGCCGCGUGAGUGAUGAAGGUCUUCGGAUCGUAAAACUCUGUUAUCAGGGAAGAACAAAUGUGUAAGUAACUGUGCACAUCUUGACGGUACCUGAUCAGAAAGCCACGGCUAACUACGUGCCAGCAGCCGCGGUAAUACGUAGGUGGCAAGCGUUAUCCGGAAUUAUUGGGCGUAAAGCGCGCGUAGGCGGUUUUUUAAGUCUGAUGUGAAAGCCCACGGCUCAACCGUGGAGGGUCAUUGGAAACUGGAAAACUUGAGUGCAGAAGAGGAAAGUGGAAUUCCAUGUGUAGCGGUGAAAUGCGCAGAGAUAUGGAGGAACACCAGUGGCGAAGGCGACUUUCUGGUCUGUAACUGACGCUGAUGUGCGAAAGCGUGGGGAUCAAACAGGAUUAG